CAGCAGUCGCCGCGGUAAUACAGAGGGUGCAAGCGUUAAUCGGAAUUACUGGGCGUAAAGCGCGCGUAGGUGGUUUGUUAAGUUGGAUGUGAAAUCCCCGGGCUCAACCUGGGAACUGCAUCCAAAACUGGCAAGCUAGAGUAUGGUAGAGGGUGGUGGAAUUUCCUGUGUAGCGGUGAAAUGCGUAGAUAUAGGAAGGAACACCAGUGGCGAAGGCGACCACCUGGACUGAUACUGACACUGAGGUGCGAAAGCGUGGGGAGCAAACAGGAUUAGAUACCCCAGUAGUCCCUGUCUCUUAUAC
Molecule: ribosomal RNA, 304 nt
Filed under: uncultured bacterium
Lineage: Bacteria
Description: partial 16S ribosomal RNA
Rfam family: Bacterial small subunit ribosomal RNA
Source: RNAcentral